This 87-nucleotide small nucleolar RNA is filed under the name Macleaya cordata. Its description in RNAcentral is "small nucleolar RNA snoR114". It matches the Rfam family "small nucleolar RNA snoR114". The record is from Rfam by way of RNAcentral. Lineage: Eukaryota; Viridiplantae; Streptophyta; Magnoliopsida; Ranunculales; Papaveraceae.
GAGCAGUGACGAAAAUAGUGCGGCUGUGUUAGAAUGGGUUUUUUCACCAUCGUCACUGCUUCGACGAAAUCUGCGCUUCCUGAGCUC